AGUGAACGCUGGCGGUAGGCCUAACACAUGCAAGUCGAACGGCAGCACAGUAAGAGCUUGCUCUUACGGGUGGCGAGUGGCGGACGGGUGAGGAAUACAUCGGAAUCUACUUUUUCGUGGGGGAUAAUGUAAGGAAACUUACGCUAAUACCGCAUACGACCUACGGGUGAAAGCAGGGGAUCUUCGGACCUUGCGCGAUUGAAUGAGCCGAUGUCGGAUUAGCUAGUUGGCGGGGUAAAGGCCCACCAAGGCGACGAUCCGUAGCUGGUCUGAGAGGAUGAUCAGCCACACUGGAACUGAGACACGGUCCAGACUCCUACGGGAGGCGGCAGUGGGGAAUAUUGGACAAUGGGCGCAAGCCUGAUCCAGCCAUACCGCGUGGGUGAAGAAGGCCUUCGGGUUGUAAAGCCCUUUUGUUGGGAAAGAAAAGCAGCAGGUUAAUACCCCGCUGUUCUGACGGUACCCAAAGAAUAAGCACCGGCUAACUUCGUG
RNAcentral lists this ribosomal RNA (492 nucleotides) under uncultured bacterium. RNAcentral's name for it is "partial 16S ribosomal RNA". It matches the Rfam family "Bacterial small subunit ribosomal RNA", at positions 29 to 507 of the family's 1533-position model. The record is from RNAcentral.